GUUUAAGGAAGGCAAGCUAAAACCGUCACGUCGUGGGACUGCGGUUACUCGUCCCACCGAAAACAUUUGUGACGACGCUUGCAUGACCUACAUCCUGUAGG
RNAcentral lists this small RNA (101 nucleotides) under Jeotgalibaca sp. PTS2502. RNAcentral's name for it is "Bacillaceae-1 RNA". It matches the Rfam family "Bacillaceae-1 RNA". The record is from Rfam by way of RNAcentral. Lineage: Bacteria; Bacillati; Bacillota; Bacilli; Lactobacillales; Carnobacteriaceae.